Molecule: long non-coding RNA, 1218 nt
Organism: Clarias gariepinus (North African catfish)
Lineage: Eukaryota; Metazoa; Chordata; Actinopteri; Siluriformes; Clariidae
Exons: 3
Source: RefSeq, a predicted model, not a curated record
GUGAAAAAACGUGAAUCUAAAAUAAUAUUAAAUUACAUUAAUUAAAAUCAGAAUGUUAGAAGAUUUUUGGAAUCUAUGGUAAAUAUCUGGUUCGUGUCUUUACUUCCGUCGUGCCCUGGGUUUGAGUGUACAGCGUCUCUACACAGAGGAGGAGGAGGAGGAGGAGUCUCGACAAGAUGCAGAUCUCUGUUACACAUCAAUCAGAUUUUCCAGCCAAACAGAAACAAACGUCCUGAUACAGGCGGGAACUGAAAUCUGCGGAGCGCUGCGACUCGUUCUCUUCAGAUCCUCAAGGUCACGAGUAUCUCACUGAUCCACUCACAGUUCCCAACUCCUCUGUACCAGCUCGGCCGUGCCACACCUCCUCGAGUGAUCCUUGAGUGAUCGUGCCCCCAUGUUUGGGUGGGGUUUGUGUAACGCCCCAGAGAAGCAGACAUGAGGACGCUCUCGUCGCCGUGCUUAACUGUGGGUUCUCCGGAGCCUCCUGCCAAGUGACCCCAGACUCCUCCCCCCAUCAGCAUUAAUCUGAUUGUGGUUCACCUCUUCAUGCAUCUUUUGGACGAGUCGUUCCAGUUACCCUGCUAGGGUUUUUGCUCCGCCUCUUUUCCAUUCCAAUGUUUAAUAGAUUUUCCCCCUGAGAACUUUAGGAAUCUCCACCUUCACCACGGUGCAUGAAACCGUCCUGAUCAACGGGAAUGUAUUUUGAAUUCACACCAGGUGUUAAACAGGCGUGUAACUCCUUACUUCUAAUUAACACUCAUUUACCUUGAACAUGAAAUAUUUUUCAUGUACUCUGCAAAUUACUAUUAUUAUUAUUAUAAUUGUCAUUAUUAUGAUUAUUAUUAUGACUUUUCCUGGUGAUGCCGCCAUCAUCAAAUCAACAUCUGGCUAGAGAACGUGGUGCUUCAAUUCUGUUCACAAUGAAUAAAUAAAUAAACUUAAUCAAAACAGAGUUUUUUCAAUGUUGUUUUUGUUUUCACUCAUUAAUGAAACAGUAUAAAUGUGUAUUUUGAGUGUGUGUGUGUGUGUCACAGAUGUGUUACUCAUUUCUGCAUACACGAUGUUAAAGUGUCUGAGAAUCUGGAUUCUCAGCAAAUUCCCACCAGGCAUGGCGAGAUUCAUGCGUCGGAGAGGGCUGGAGAGGGAUCCUGAGACUUGUGGAAAUAAGCUCAGUAAAUGACUCUCGCCGAGUUCACAGUAAGAACGAGACAUAUCCAG